AUGAUGACCGGAUCGAGCUCCCAUGUGUUCAUCAUGCCCGGCGCCGGCCAUGUCCACUACCUCGUCGCGGGAGGCUCCGGAGGAGGCGACGACCCCAGGUACCCCUGGACCUUCAAGUCCCUGCACGAGGUGGACGCCGCCGUCCCUGCCAUCACCCGUGGAGCACCGGUAGAGCCCUACGGGUGCCCCAUCUGCUUCCGCACAUUCGCCAGUGCCAAGGCCGUCCAUGGCCACAUGCGCAGCCACACGGACCGCAGCUGGCGCGGCAUGGAGCCGCCCCGGCCGGAACCUCUCGGCGAGCUUGGGCCGGACGGGCGGCGCUACCCGUACGCGUGUGACCGCUGCAAGAUGCCAUUCCAGACGCGGCAGGCGCUCGGCGGCCACCGUGCCAGCCACAAUGGUAAGAAAGGCUGCUCCUGGCUCGAUAGGGAGGAGCUCGCCGCCGAAGAAGAAGCUCGGAAGCCCGUCGUGUUCGACGUUGAUCUGAACCUUCCGGCUCCAGAGGCAGAGGAACAUGAGGAGGAGGAGUAG
This 531-nucleotide ribosomal RNA is filed under the name Triticum aestivum (bread wheat). Its description in RNAcentral is "partial small subunit ribosomal RNA". The record is from RNAcentral. Lineage: Eukaryota; Viridiplantae; Streptophyta; Magnoliopsida; Poales; Poaceae.